GCAGAGUUUGGAGAAAAUGAAAGACAAAGUGCGAGAUUGGUUACACUAUGCUCAGAUUAAAGAAGUUUUUAAAAAUGAUAAGAAACUAGGGUUCCAGGUGGAGAAAUCGAAAUUAGAAACAGAAUUGUUAGAACCAAAGAUUAAGAUACUUUCAAGGAUGUAUAACUUGCUGUUGGAAUGGAAUACACAAGAUGAAAUGGUUAAAUCGGCUAUGAUAAGGUGGGCACAGGAUAUUGGGCAUAAUAUUAUGUUUGAGGACUGGGAAAGGCUGUGGAGUAAUGGAUUGAAAUUUACUGCAUGUAAUGCUUUGAAAGAAAAUGUAAUGAAAAUGAUUUAUAGAUGGUAUAUGACCCCAGUCAAACUCGCAAAAAUUUACCACCUGUCUGAUAACAAGUGCUGGAAAUGUAAAGAGUGUGAAGGAACGUUCUUUCACCUCUGGUGGACCUGCCCUAAAGUGAAGGCGUUCUGGGAAAUGAUUUAUAAUGAACUGAAAAAGGUAUUUAAAUAUACUUUCACUAAGAAACCAGAGGCUUUCCUUUUGGGUAUUGUCAGCCAAGGGGUGGCAAAGAAGGACCAGACAUUUUUUAUGUAUGCAACAACAGCAGCAAGGAUACUACUCGCAAAACAUUGGAAAACUCAAGAUCUACCCACACUGGAAGAAUGGCAGAUGCAACUGAUAGACUAUAUGCAACUGGCUGAAAUGACUGGCAGAAUCCGUGACCUGGGAGAAGAGAGAAUCGAGGAGGAUUGGAAGAAAUUUAAGAACUAUCUACAAAAACAUUGUGAUUUGACUGAAUGCUGAAUAAGAUGCUAGACUAAAUAACUGAGCACCACUUAACUUAGAAAUUUUUAAGAAAAUAAGAAAAACUGUGAAAGUUUAACUCUUUAUGAGAACUUUAAGAUUAUGAAAUAUUGAAGAGAUAUAAGAACUUAAAUAAGAUGAUAAAUUGCUGACAAAAUGUUAUAAUGAUGAAGGUGGGAGCGGGAGAUGUGAGGAAGUCCAAAGAAAAUGUGAAACUAUGUUAAGACGAAUGUUAUAUUGUUUAUUACAUUUAUUCUUAUUGUAAAAUCCAAUAAAUUGCUUU
This 1085-nucleotide long non-coding RNA is filed under the name Podarcis lilfordi (Lilford's wall lizard). The record is from RNAcentral. Lineage: Eukaryota; Metazoa; Chordata; Lepidosauria; Squamata; Lacertidae.